AUUGGUUCGAGCUAGGCUCUUCUAGAAUGCAAAGUUGUUGGAGUUCUAAAUCACGAACGUUUCGUGGUUGUUCGAUCGGUAAGGGUUAGUUAUUGGACGUUCCAUAACUAAUUUACACAAGGAAGAGUUGGUGUCCGAGGCGUCCUUGGUAGCUAUAACUAGCUUAUUGGAAAAGAGGAGUUCAUCUAAUUUCAAGGAUCGGUUCAAAGACGAGGAAAACUCAUGCCUAAAGCUGAGCUUAUUCUAAUUAAUUUUUCUUCAUAUUUAUUUAACUGCUUUUAUUAUUCUGUUUUCAACUUUUUCUUUUCACGCAUUUUAUUUAUUUAUUUCAGGUCUUCAAAUUUUAUCCCCCCGAACUUCUAGGGCACAACAACUACCCCGACAUAAAUCUGGUCAAAAAAGGAACAAUUUGCAGUAAACCCAGUCUCUGAGGGAUCGACCCUACUCCAUAUAUUGCUUAAAUCGCAAAUUAGGCGUAGGUUUAGAUUGGUGGAUUCGACACCCAUCAGUUUUGGCGCCGUUGCCGGGAACUGGCAACACUUACAAUUGUUCUCGAGGAGCCCAUAAUUUAAAUAACAGGUCGUCGAGCUAACGAAGCGCUGUUGGGAGGCAACCCAAAUUUUUCCCUUUAUGCAAAUAAAAUUUUUGGUAAAACGGAAAAUGAAAAUGCAUGUCGAGGAUCAGUUCUGUCUAAGGAAAGACUUGGUACUUAAGAAUGUCCAUUGUGACUCACUUCUCUUUCUUGGGAACUUACUUGGUGCAUGUAUCACGACAGUUUCACCAAAUCUUGUAAUCUUGGUUUUUAAUAAUUUAUUUCUCGAGUUUAUAGCUUAGCUAAUAAAUUCAAGAAAUAAAAAAAUACACAUUUUAAUUUUUUUUCUUAUUAUUUAUUUUUAUUUUUAUUUUGCAGGGAGACAUUCUAAGACAAAAUUAAAUCCCCCAUGUCAUCCCACAAAAUUCUUUUAAUUUCAGCCAAGGCCCAAUCCACCUACCCACCAUUUAACACCGUGGACACACACCUACUAGGCAACCCUCCACGACGUUGAAAUACAUGGGGAGUUUCUUUUUCCUUUCCCUACUUACCUUUACUUUUUUACCAUUUAAUCCAAUUCAAAUUACAUUAGGAACAAUGUAAAAUAAGUAGGGGGAAGGGAACAUAUAUUGGUUCUAUUUUGCUUAUUCGUUGUCGUUGUUUUUGCAUGUUUUCCGUAAAAGGUAAAAUUUUUCUUUUGAUAAAUUAGGAUGGUACACUUAUGGUUUGACCUAUUUAGCUAUUUAGUUCUUUACACAUAAACUUUUCAAUAGCCUAGACUUAGUGGGUAAGAAAUUUUUUUUAUAGGAAUUAUGAGUUUGCUUGACUGCCUACCUUAUAUCACAUCUCAAUUUUUUGCCUUCUCUUCUUAAAAAAAGAGAAAAAAAAAAGAAGAAAUGAAUAAAUACUCAUCUGAUACGAAUGUUAAGAGUGAAAAAUUGGGGUUGUACAUCGGGAUGAGUAACCGGAAUGUGGUGCUUGGGUUGUCAUCACAUCUCGCGCAAAAAGGUUCGUGUGACUAUCUAAUUUCUUUGCACUCACUCCACUAACAAGCUAUCACGAGUAGGGUGAAAUAACCCGCUUCGAGACAUCCGAAUCGAGUAACCGGAACAUGGUGCUUGGGUUGUAAUCUUGUCUCGCGUAAAAAAAUUCGAAAAUGUCCUAAGUACACAAAAAAUUAUUAUUAUUAUUAUUAUUAUUAUUAUUAUAAAUAAAAAUAAAUUAGGGGUAGGUCUAUCAAGCUCUAAUAAAUUCUGAAAUAUAUUUACUUACUUCUUAGGCUAGGUUAUUUGAGAUGUUACUGUGCUAGGAUUAAAUUGUUGAAUUAUGCAAACCAUGGUGGUCAUGUCCUAUUUUUGAGAAAAUUUUUUUCUUUUUACAGAUAUAUACAAAAUGCUCGAGGACUAGCAUAAGCUAAGUAGGGGGAUUUGAUUAAAUGCUAAAGUUACAUAUUUUAUGUAAUUAAAUUGGUUAAUUUAUGAGAGUGCACCACUUAUUUUUCCAUGUUUUUGUUGAAUUUUGUGCAGGGGUGCAAUUUGGGGCUAAAUAGAAGAAAAAGGAGACAAUUGGGCUAGAUUGAAGAAAGAAGCAAAGGAGGACCAAAGCAGAAUUUUUCCAAGAUUAAUUAGCUGAAAUUUUUGUUGACUUAGUGGGAGAUUAUGUAAGGAUUUUUAAUAUAUUAUUUCUUGAUUUUCUAUACUAGUUGGCUCUUAAUUUAGCAAAGCCACUAGUAUAAAUAGUGGACUACUUUGUUCAUUUUAUCAUGAAGUCUUGAAUCAAGUCAUUAAUCAAGUUUUUAAUUACCAAGUUUUUUUUAUUAAGUAUCCAUUUCAGCUUUAGGCUGAAAUUAGCCUCGUCAAAACCCGUGAGUUACGCACCCGAGCAAAUUAACUCCUAAAUUCCAGUACUUAUUAUUUCUCCGGAUUAAGAGUAUGAUUUUGUCAACUCACGAAGUCAGAUCAACAUUAAGUCAAAAAAGACGUCGUUUGAUUUAGUGUUGUUAGGCGUACAGUUGGAAUUCUAAAAGGAACGUUUCUAAUUGGUUUUCUGUGAACACAUUGGCUUGCCAAGUGGAGAUUGCUGUUUGGUUCCGUACUAAUAACUGGAUUUAAAUGUCCCACGCGGUUGAGGGCAUUGGUUCGAGCUAGGCUCUUCUAGAACGCAAAGCUGCCGGAGUUCUAAAUCACGAAUGUUUCGUGGUUGUUCGAUCGAUAAGGGUUAGUUAUUGGACGUUCCAUAACUAAUUUACACAAGGAAGAGUUGGUGUCCGAGGCGUCCUUGGUAGCUAUGACUAGCUUAUUAGAAAAGAGGAGUUCAUCUAAUUUCGAGGAUCG
Molecule: long non-coding RNA, 2865 nt
Filed under: Gossypium barbadense (sea-island cotton)
Lineage: Eukaryota; Viridiplantae; Streptophyta; Magnoliopsida; Malvales; Malvaceae
Description: long non-coding RNA (GBAR_LNC017234)
Source: RNAcentral